UAAUGAGAGUUUGAUCCUGGCUCAGGACGAACGCUGGCGGCGUGCCUAACACAUGCAAGUCGAGCGAAGUAUUUAAAGAAG
This 81-nucleotide ribosomal RNA is filed under the name Tissierella sp. RNAcentral's name for it is "partial 16S ribosomal RNA". It matches the Rfam family "Bacterial small subunit ribosomal RNA", at positions 1 to 85 of the family's 1533-position model. Lineage: Bacteria; Bacillati; Bacillota; Tissierellia; Tissierellales; Tissierellaceae. The record is from RNAcentral.